This 301-nucleotide ribosomal RNA is filed under the name uncultured bacterium. RNAcentral describes it as "partial 16S ribosomal RNA". It matches the Rfam family "Bacterial small subunit ribosomal RNA", at positions 509 to 807 of the family's 1533-position model. The record is from RNAcentral.
CAGUAGCCGCGGUAAUACGUAGGGUGCGAGCGCUAAUCGGAAUUACUGGGCGUAAGGCGUGCGCAGGCGGUUCGUUAAGACAGAUGUGAAAUCCCCGGGCUUAACCUGGGAACUGCAUUUGUGACUGGCGAGCUAGAGUAUGGCAGAGGGGGGUAGAAUUCCACGUGUAGCAGUGAAAUGCGUAGAGAUGUGGAGGAAUACCGAUGGCGAAGGCAGCCCCCUGGGCCAAUACUGACGCUCAUGCACGAAAGCGUGGGGAGCAAACAGGAUUAGAUACCCCGGUAGUCCCUGUCUCUUAUAC